This 468-nucleotide ribosomal RNA is filed under the name uncultured bacterium. Its description in RNAcentral is "partial 16S ribosomal RNA". It matches the Rfam family "Bacterial small subunit ribosomal RNA", at positions 28 to 507 of the family's 1533-position model. The record is from RNAcentral.
GACGAACGCUGGCGGCGUGCUUAACACAUGCAAGUCGAACGGAAAGGCCCUGCUUUUGUGGGGUGCUCGAGUGGCGAACGGGUGAGUAACACGUGAGUAACCUGCCCUUGACUUUGGGAUAACUUCAGGAAACUGGGGCUAAUACCGGAUAGGAGCUCCUGCUGCAUGGUGGGGGUUGGAAAGUUUCGGCGGUUGGGGAUGGACUCGCGGCUUAUCAGCUUGUUGGUGGGGUAGUGGCUUACCAAGGCUUUGACGGGUAGCCGGCCUGAGAGGGUGACCGGCCACAUGGGGACUGAGAUACGGACCAGACUCCUACGGGAGGCAGCAGUGGGGAAUAUGGCACAAUGGGCGGAAGCCUGAUGCAGCAACGCCGCGUGCGGGAUGACGGCCUUCGGGUUGUAAACCGCUUUCGCCUGUGACGAAGCGUGAGUGACGGUAAUGGGUAAAGAAGCACCGGCUAACUACGUG